GAUGAACGCUGGCGGCGUGCCUAAUACAUGCAAGUCGAGCGAACAGACGAGGAGCUUGCUCCUCUGACGUUAGCGGCGGACGGGUGAGUAACACGUGGAUACCCUACCUAUAAGACUGGGAUAACUUCGGGAAACCGGAGCUAAUACCGGAUAAUAUAUUGAACCGCAUGGUUCAAUAGUGAAAGACGGUUUUGCUGUCACUUAUAGAUGGAUCCGCGCCGCAUUAGCUAGUUGGUAAGGUAACGGCUUACCAAGGCAACGCUGCGUAGCCGACCUGCGAGGGUGAUCGGACACCCUGGAGCUGAGACACGGUCCAGACUCCUACGGGAGGCAGCAGUAGGGAAUCUUCCGCAAUGGGGGAGAGCCUAGCGCAAGACUGGCGCGACAGUUCAGAGGGUCUUCGGGGCGUAGGACGCUGUGAUUAGGGAAGAACAAAUGUGGAAGGACUUAUGCAGGGCUUGACGGGACCUGAUCAGGAAGCCACGGCUACAUACGUG
This 497-nucleotide ribosomal RNA is filed under the name uncultured bacterium. Its description in RNAcentral is "partial 16S ribosomal RNA". It matches the Rfam family "Bacterial small subunit ribosomal RNA", at positions 28 to 507 of the family's 1533-position model. The record is from RNAcentral.